CCUACGGGAGGCAGCAGUGAGGAAUAUUGGUCAAUGGGCGAGAGCCUGAACCAGCCAAGUCGCGUGAAGGAUGAAGGAUCUAUGGUUUGUAAACUUCUUUUAUAUGGGAAUAAAGUGAGGAACGUGUUCCUUUUGUAUGUACCAUAUGAAUAAGCAUCGGCUAACUCCGUGCCAGCAGCCGCGGUAAUACGGAGGAUGCGAGCGUUAUCCGGAUUUAUUGGGUUUAAAGGGUGCGUAGGUGGUUAAUUAAGUCAGCGGUGAAAGUUUGUGGCUCAACCAUAAAAUUGCCGUUGAAACUGGUUGACUUGAGUAUAUUUGAGGUAGGCGGAAUGCGUGGUGUAGCGGUGAAAUGCAUAGAUAUCACGAAGAACUCCGAUUGCGAAGGCAGCUUACUAAACUGCCACUGACAUUGAUGCUCGAAAGUGUGGGGAUCAAACAGGAUUAGAUACCCGUGUAGUC
Molecule: ribosomal RNA, 459 nt
Filed under: uncultured bacterium
Lineage: Bacteria
Description: partial 16S ribosomal RNA
Rfam family: Bacterial small subunit ribosomal RNA
Source: RNAcentral